RNAcentral lists this ribosomal RNA (309 nucleotides) under uncultured archaeon. RNAcentral's name for it is "bacterial SSU rRNA". It matches the Rfam family "Archaeal small subunit ribosomal RNA", at positions 526 to 834 of the family's 1478-position model. The record is from RNAcentral.
UGGCCAGGAAAGUCCGUCGGGAAAUCCACCUGCUCAACAGGUGGGCGUCCGGCGGAAACUCCCUGGCUUGGGACCGGAAGACCCGAGGGGUACGUCCGGGGUAGGAGUGAAAUCCCGUAAUCCUGGACGGACCGCCGAUGGCGAAAGCACCUCGGGAAGACGGAUCCGACAGUGAGGGACGAAAGCUGGGGUCUCGAACCGGAUUAGAUACCCGGGUAGUCCCAGCCGUAAACGAUGUCUGCUAGGUGUGCCACAGGCUACGAGCCUGUGCUGUGCCGUAGGGAAGCCGAUAAGCAGACCGCCUGGGAA